GAAUUUGGACAUGGGCGCAGCCUGAUCCAGCCAUGCCGCGUGAGUGAUGAAGGCCCUAGGGUUGUAAAGCUCUUUCAACGGUGAAGAUAAUGACGGUAACCUGUAGAAUAAGCCCCGGGCUAACUUCGUGCCAGCAGCCGCGGGUGAA
Molecule: ribosomal RNA, 148 nt
Filed under: Mesorhizobium sp. Iw-7-1
Lineage: Bacteria; Pseudomonadati; Pseudomonadota; Alphaproteobacteria; Hyphomicrobiales; Phyllobacteriaceae
Description: partial 16S rRNA
Rfam family: Bacterial small subunit ribosomal RNA
Source: RNAcentral